UUGCUUAUAAAUAUUAAAUAUUUAAAUUUUUUAUUAUAAAAUAAAAAGUUAACAUUAAAAAGAAACCCUCGAUGUUUUUUCUAAGUGUUGAGUUUCCCACCCAUUCUCACACCAAACUCUUCUCUCGUAAAACCACCUGAAACCCUAGCCUUCUUACAGCCACUCUCAAUCGACUUAGGUAGAUGCUCACAUCCAUAGCCAUGAAGCGUUCGAAUUGGGCUGUGUUUCUUGAUGCAACAGAAGCGUGGCGGCGCUCAUGGCUCUGCUAGUUGCACCCGAGGCUCCAAUGUGGGUUGACGGCAUGUGAUGACCACAAAA
Molecule: long non-coding RNA, 318 nt
Filed under: Citrus sinensis (sweet orange)
Lineage: Eukaryota; Viridiplantae; Streptophyta; Magnoliopsida; Sapindales; Rutaceae
Description: long non-coding RNA (CSIN_LNC003513)
Source: RNAcentral